Molecule: ribosomal RNA, 1555 nt
Filed under: Escherichia coli
Lineage: Bacteria; Pseudomonadati; Pseudomonadota; Gammaproteobacteria; Enterobacterales; Enterobacteriaceae
Description: bacterial SSU rRNA
Rfam family: Bacterial small subunit ribosomal RNA
Source: RNAcentral
UUAAAUUGAAGAGUUUGAUCAUGGCUCAGAUUGAACGCUGGCGGCAGGCCUAACACAUGCAAGUCGAACGGUAACAGAAAGCAGCUUGCUGCUUUGCUGACGAGUGGCGGACGGGUGAGUAAUGUCUGGGAAACUGCCUGAUGGAGGGGGAUAACUACUGGAAACGGUAGCUAAUACCGCAUAACGUCGCAAGACCAAAGAGGGGGACCUUCGGGCCUCUUGCCAUCGGAUGUGCCCAGAUGGGAUUAGCUUGUUGGUGGGGUAACGGCUCACCAAGGCGACGAUCCCUAGCUGGUCUGAGAGGAUGACCAGCCACACUGGAACUGAGACACGGUCCAGACUCCUACGGGAGGCAGCAGUGGGGAAUAUUGCACAAUGGGCGCAAGCCUGAUGCAGCCAUGCCGCGUGUAUGAAGAAGGCCUUCGGGUUGUAAAGUACUUUCAGCGGGGAGGAAGGGAGUAAAGUUAAUACCUUUGCUCAUUGACGUUACCCGCAGAAGAAGCACCGGCUAACUCCGUGCCAGCAGCCGCGGUAAUACGGAGGGUGCAAGCGUUAAUCGGAAUUACUGGGCGUAAAGCGCACGCAGGCGGUUUGUUAAGUCAGAUGUGAAAUCCCCGGGCUCAACCUGGGAACUGCAUCUGAUACUGGCAAGCUUGAGUCNNNNNNNNNNNNNNNNNNNNNNNNNNUAGCGGUGAAAUGCGUAGAGAUCUGGAGGAAUACCGGUGGCGAAGGCGGCCCCCUGGACGAAGACUGACGCUCAGGUGCGAAAGCGUGGGGAGCAAACAGGAUUAGAUACCCUGGUAGUCCACGCCGUAAACGAUGUCGACUUGGAGGUUGUGCCCUUGAGGCGUGGCUUCCGGAGCUAACGCGUUAAGUCGACCGCCUGGGGAGUACGGCCGCAAGGUUAAAACUCAAAUGAAUUGACGGGGGCCCGCACAAGCGGUGGAGCAUGUGGUUUAAUUCGAUGCAACGCGAAGAACCUUACCUGGUCUUGACAUCCACGGAAGUUUUCAGAGAUGAGAAUGUGCCUUCGGGAACCGUGAGACAGGUGCUGCAUGGCUGUCGUCAGCUCGUGUUGUGAAAUGUUGGGUUAAGUCCCGCAACGAGCGCAACCCUUAUCCUUUGUUGCCAGCGGUCCGGCCGGGAACUCAAAGGAGACUGCCAGUGAUAAACUGGAGGAAGGUGGGGAUGACGUCAAGUCAUCAUGGCCCUUACGACCAGGGCUACACACGUGCUACAAUGGCGCAUACAAAGAGAAGCGACCUCGCGAGAGCAAGCGGACCUCAUAAAGUGCGUCGUAGUCCGGAUUGGAGUCUGCAACUCGACUCCAUGAAGUCGGAAUCGCUAGUAAUCGUGGAUCAGAAUGCCACGGUGAAUACGUUCCCGGGCCUUGUACACACCGCCCGUCACACCAUGGGAGUGGGUUGCAAAAGAAGUAGGUAGCUUAACCUUCGGGAGGGCGCUUACCACUUUGUGAUUCAUGACUGGGGUGAAGUCGUAACAAGGUAACCGUAGGGGAACCUGCGGUUGGAUCACCUCCUUACCUUAAAGAAGC